AAAAAAAUCCAUCUGACUAUUAUCUUUAUGUUUGACCAGGUUUUAACCACUUUUAAACUAUCCUUUUGGACUAGAUCAAAGGAUCAAUUGAUGGUUCAACUUGUCGAACCAAUUAGUUUGGUCUAAUUUUUAAAACAUAUAUUGGGGCUAAUGAUCUCAUCUACGAUCUCAUCUACUGACAAUCAUCAUUUGUGCCAUUGAAGAUGAGAUAGAUAAACUAAAUGAGGUUAAGCGAUUACUAGAUUGAAUGAGGUUUUCUCCAAUACCUUAUCUUUCUUCGGUGCGUGAUUAUUGCUAAAGUUCAAUGAUGUUUAGCUUUGGUUGGUAAGUUUCUUAUCAUAGGCAUUUCUGGGGUGGAAAAAUCUCAAAAACAAAUGGCAGCUUGAUGAUGAAUUUGAGAUUUUUUUGCAUGCGAGUUUUUUUUAUCUUUUGAGGCUUUGGCUAUUAAAAAUGGAGGCCAAAUUUCUACCAAUAUGAAGGUCCUAACAAGAGGCUUUGGCUAUUGAAAAAUGGAGGCCAAAUUUCUAUCCACGUGAAGGUGCUAUCAACCAUUCCUUUUUAUGGAUCAUGUUACCAAGCCUUCCAAUAGUAUAUUGAUAGGACUAAAAUCAGAUCGGAUACC
RNAcentral lists this long non-coding RNA (622 nucleotides) under Elaeis guineensis (African oil palm). RNAcentral describes it as "long non-coding RNA (EGUI_LNC073854)". Lineage: Eukaryota; Viridiplantae; Streptophyta; Magnoliopsida; Arecales; Arecaceae. The record is from RNAcentral.